This is a long non-coding RNA of Mastomys coucha (southern multimammate mouse), 389 nucleotides long. RefSeq lists it as uncharacterized. The transcript has 2 exons. The record is from RefSeq and is a predicted model, not a curated record. Lineage: Eukaryota; Metazoa; Chordata; Mammalia; Rodentia; Muridae.
AGCUAGAAGUAGCUUGGAAUUUCCUUUCUGAUGUCUAUGGCGAGAGUCAAUAGGACCUAAAGUUCUGGCCCUGGCUCAGAAGAAUGGCAGAUAAGCCAACGAGAGGCCUUGUUCCAUGGGUAGAUAGAUUCUUGCUUCACUUGCAGCUUUCUAGUGGAUUCCUUCCAGAUAGAAACUGAAACUUGAGAACCACUGAAAGCCGUGCCUCUCCCGGGACUUCCUAGCUCUGACAUAGGAUACUAAUGCUACAAGCAAUCGGAACUCACCUGCCCCUGCUCAGCCAGAGCCUUUUCCAGGUCCUCCACCCGUGUCUGUGCUCUCUGUAUUUCUGCCUGCAGCUGCUCACGGGUCUGUAGGAUAGGAGGAAGAAUACAUCAAAUUUUCUCUAA